This 44-nucleotide non-coding RNA is filed under the name Schistosoma mattheei. Lineage: Eukaryota; Metazoa; Platyhelminthes; Trematoda; Strigeidida; Schistosomatidae. The record is from RNAcentral.
GUCCAGGUGACGAGUCCCUAAUAGGAUGAAACGCGCGUCCUGAC